Molecule: ribosomal RNA, 330 nt
Filed under: uncultured Flavobacteriaceae bacterium
Lineage: Bacteria; Pseudomonadati; Bacteroidota; Flavobacteriia; Flavobacteriales; Flavobacteriaceae
Description: bacterial SSU rRNA
Rfam family: Bacterial small subunit ribosomal RNA
Source: RNAcentral
CUCGGAGUUUGAUCCUGGCUCAGGAUGAACGCUAGCGGCAGGCUUAACACACGCAAGUCGAGGGGUAGAAGCAGCUUGCUGCUUUGAGACCGGCGCACGGGUGCGUAACGCGUAUACAAUCUACCUUUUACAGAGGGAUAGCCCAGAGAAAUUUGGAUUAAUACCUCAUAGUAUUUUCGAAUGGCAUCAUUUGAUUAUUAAAGUUCCAACGGUAAAAGAUGAGUAUGCGUCCCAUUAGCUAGAUGGUAAGGUAACGGCUUACCAUGGCAACGGAUGGGUAGGGGUCCUGAGAGGGAGACUCCCCCGACACUGGUACUGAGACACGGACCA